Molecule: ribosomal RNA, 775 nt
Filed under: uncultured Neocallimastigales
Lineage: Eukaryota; Fungi; Neocallimastigomycota; Neocallimastigomycetes; Neocallimastigales
Description: partial large subunit ribosomal RNA
Rfam family: Eukaryotic large subunit ribosomal RNA
Source: RNAcentral
UACUAGAGUAGCACUCGCAUAUCAAUAAGCGGAGGAAAAGAAACUAACAAGGAUUCCCCUAGUAACGGCGAGUGAAGCGGGAAGAGCUCAAAUUUGAAAUCUUAAAGGGUUUCCCUUUACGAAUUGUAGUUUAAAGAAGUGUUUUCUGUUGAGGUUUUGGUAAAAGUUCUUUGGAAUAGGACAUCAUAGAGGGUGAGAAUCCCGUAUUUGACCUUUACUUUCAACUUUGUGAUACACUUUCAAAGAGUCGGAUUGUUUGGGAAUGCAGUCCAAAAUGGGUGGUAAAUUUCAUCUAAAGCUAAAUAUUGGCGAGAGACCGAUAGCGAACAAGUACCGUGAGGGAAAGAUGAAAAGAACUUUGAAAAGAGAGUUAAACAGUACGUGAAAUUGUCAAAAGGGAAGCGUUUGACACCAGUGUUGUUUUUCUGAAAAUCAAUUAAAGAACUGUUUAUGCUAAGCUGUUUAGACUUUAUCAGCUAUCUGUUUAGUUUUGAGCUUUUCUUUAAUGCACUUUUCAGUUAACAAGUCAACAUCAAUUUCCUUUUGCUGUAAAAAAGCUUGAGGAAGGUGGCUUGAGAUUCGUCUUAAGUGUUUAUAGCCUCUUGCCUAUGCAGUCGGAGAGAUUGAGGUCUGCAGCGUAGAUCCUUCGGGGCUAAAUGCAGUUUGUGCUAAGUUAUAGCAUUUUAUAGACAACUUGUUGACUAUGAUUUGUCUUGUAGCUUACUCGCUUAUGUUAUUUUACCUACGCUUAGGAUGUUGAGCGCAUGUCUCUCUC